GCAGCUACACAUGCAGUCGAGGGGCAGCGCGAGUAGCAUACUUGGCGGCGACCGGCGCAAGGGUGCGUACGCGUGAGCAACAUGCCCGUAUCAAGAGGAUAAUCCAGAGAACUUGGUCUAAUACCCCAUAGUAAUUGUGUAAAGCAUCUUAUAAGAUUUAAGCUGUGGUGGAUACGGAUUGGCUCGGGUGACAUUAGCUGGAUGGUAAGGUAACGGCUUACCAUGGCUAUGAUGUCUAGGGGUUCUGAGAGGAAGGUCCCCCACACUGGAACUGAGACACGGUCCAGACUCCUACGGGAGGCAGCAGUGAGGAAUAUUGGACAAUGGGAUGGGAAAUCUGAUCCAAGCCAUGCGCGUGAAAGAAAGAGGGU
Molecule: ribosomal RNA, 371 nt
Filed under: uncultured bacterium
Lineage: Bacteria
Description: bacterial SSU rRNA
Rfam family: Bacterial small subunit ribosomal RNA
Source: RNAcentral